RNAcentral lists this ribosomal RNA (486 nucleotides) under uncultured bacterium. Its description in RNAcentral is "partial 16S ribosomal RNA". It matches the Rfam family "Bacterial small subunit ribosomal RNA", at positions 899 to 1397 of the family's 1533-position model. The record is from RNAcentral.
ACUCAAAUGAAUUGACGGGGACUUGCACAAGCGGUGGAUCAUGCGGCUCAAUUCGAUGACAAACGAAGAACCUCACCAGGGUUAGAAACCAAGACGACAUCUUUAGGAAACUUUAGACUCCGCAAGGCGGCUUGGCAGGUGAUGCAUGGUCGUCGUCAGUUCGUGGCUUGAGUUGUUCCCUUCAGUGGGGUAACGAACGCAACCCUCGUUGCCUGUUUUAUUAGUCAGGCGAGACUGCCCCCUCACGGGGGAGGAAGGUGAGGAUGACGCCAGAUCAGCAUGUCCCUCUGAUAUCCUGGGCUGCACGCAUGAUACAAUGGGCGCGACAACGAGACGCGAAGGGGUAACCCGGAGCAAAUCUUUAUAAACGCGCCCCCAGUUCGGAUUGAGGUCUGCAACUCGACCUCAUGAAGCCGGAAUCGCUAGUAAUCGCAGGUCAGCUAUACUGCGGUGAAUACGUUCUCAAGUCUUGUACACACCGCCCGU